Molecule: non-coding RNA, 854 nt
Organism: Microcebus murinus (gray mouse lemur)
Lineage: Eukaryota; Metazoa; Chordata; Mammalia; Primates; Cheirogaleidae
Source: RefSeq, a predicted model, not a curated record
CCUGGGGCGUCCCUGGGGGCCGCAGUCCGGAGAGCGCGCGGCGGCCAUGGCCCUGGCCCCAAGCCCCGCGGGUUCCUCCGGGCCGCCAGGACGCUGGCUCGCCUGUGCGGCCUGAGCCGGACUAGAAGAAGAAUCCACCCACUGAGGGUCUCUCCAGGAGCGAAAAGUAGCCGAUGUCGAGACAGGACUCGCCCCCACGCUUUCAAGAGAAACACACAAAGGAAAUCUGCCUUUUAAUACCAAUCGGCUUACUUCAAUUUUAUCUGAAACAGAGGUAAAACUUCUGGUAAUAAGUAAGGAACCCCUCCAAUUGUAUAGGACCUUCACCCUGAAUGGGAUCCACUCACGACCCGACGUAGGCGUGAACAUCACACACAUGCAUCACUGGACUCAGCGCUCCUGUGACAGAUGUGGUUGCACCUGCCAUCCAGCAAGCUGCUCCUGGUUUCAAGAUAUCAUGAAGCCUGUGUGGAAACAAAUUAGUAGAUUGCUGUGAGCACACACACGUCAGAGCAAAGGGAGGUUGAUAGAAAUGGCAGGAUAUCUCUGGAAGCUAAACGAGUCAUUUCUAACUCAGAGUGGAGCACAACCCUUUGUAGGUUCUACUGUACUGAGCUGUCUUUGGAGGCCUCCAGUGAGCAACUAGGAAGUGGCCCAGCCCAGGGGGAAGAUUCAUGUGGUUUUGAUUAUCUGCGAAAAGGGCUGCUGGGACUCCUUCUAGAAGAAACUUACACCUGAAGCUUCAUGUUCUGGUUUUGGACGUCCCAACUGAACCAGCUGUGAUAUCUUUGGGAACAUUGAAGACCUGUGAAGAGCAAGAAGGAUCUUGCUCUGUUGCUGGGGCUAGAAUGCAG